This 87-nucleotide transfer RNA is filed under the name Helicobacter cetorum MIT 00-7128. RNAcentral's name for it is "tRNA-Leu (CAA) (tRNA-Leu-CAA-1-1)". It matches the Rfam family "tRNA". From Rfam's summary of the family: Transfer RNA (tRNA) molecules are approximately 80 nucleotides in length. The record is from RNAcentral. Lineage: Bacteria; Pseudomonadati; Campylobacterota; Epsilonproteobacteria; Campylobacterales; Helicobacteraceae.
GCCGAAGUGGUGGAACUGGUAGACGCGCUAGACUCAAAAUCUGGUGAGGGCAACCUCGUGUCGGUUCGAGUCCGACCUUCGGCACCA